RNAcentral lists this ribosomal RNA (812 nucleotides) under Proteus mirabilis. RNAcentral describes it as "partial 23S ribosomal RNA". It matches the Rfam family "Bacterial large subunit ribosomal RNA", at positions 743 to 1556 of the family's 2925-position model. The record is from RNAcentral. Lineage: Bacteria; Pseudomonadati; Pseudomonadota; Gammaproteobacteria; Enterobacterales; Morganellaceae.
GGUUGAAGGUUGGGUAACACUAACUGGAGGACCGAACCGACUAAUGUUGAAAAAUUAGCGGAUGACUUGUGGAUGGGGGUGAAAGGCCAAUCAAACCGGGAGAUAGCUGGUUCUCCCCGAAAGCUAUUUAGGUAGCGCCUCGUGAAUUCAUCUUCGGGGGUAGAGCACUGUUUCGACUAGGGGGUCAUCCCGACUUACCAACUCGAUGCAAACUGCGAAUACCGAAGAAUGUUAUCACGGGAGACACACGGCGGGUGCUAACGUCCGUCGUGAAGAGGGAAACAACCCAGACCGCCAGCUAAGGUCCCAAAGUCAUGGUUAAGUGGGAAACGAAGUGGGAAGGCUCAGACAGCCAGGAUGUUGGCUUAGAAGCAGCCAUCAUUUAAAGAAAGCGUAAUAGCUCACUGGUCGAGUCGGCCCGCGCGGAAGAUGUAACGGGGCUAAACCAUGCACCGAAGCUGCGGCAGCGACACAAAGUGUUGUUGGGUAGGGGAGCGUUCUGUAAGCCUGCGAAGGUGUACUGUGAGGUAUGCUGGAGGUAUCAGAAGUGCGAAUGCUGACAUAAGUAACGAUAAUGCGGGUGAAAAACCCGCACGCCGGAAGACCAAGGGUUCCUGUCCAACGUUAAUCGGGGCAGGGUGAGUCGACCCCUAAGGCGAGGCUGAAAAGCGUAGUCGAUGGGAAACGGGUUAAUAUUCCCGUACUGGUGGUAACUGCGAUGGGGGAACGGAGAAGGCUAGGUUGUCCGGGCGACGGUCGUCCCGGUUCAAGCAGGUAGGCAGAGUGAUUAGGCAAAUCCGGUCACUUAAUGC